CUUCAGUGUUUCUCAGUUGGUGCUGGAGGUUCUCAGGUGCGCUGGAUGGCAGGUGCGACCUAUCUGCUGAUUGCACGGAGGAGUACUUAGGCGGGAGGCUGCCAGCACUUGAAAGCCAGAGUGUUUACCUUAGUGGUUUUUACCUGAGGCUUUGUUUACUUUGCUGAGACCCGACUUCGUUCCAGAGGUUCUCUGACCAAUCUGGAUAAUCAUCUACUGAGUAUUGGAUCUGCCUUCUUGUGGAUUUCUCUCCCAACUGUUUGUACUUUUCAGACACGGACCAAGCUGGCGGCUUCCCACUUCCUUCAACUCCGGGACCAAGGCAUAAGUGUACCCUGUUCCACCCUCCAUCACAAGCAUCGGCACCUGUGUUUCACCUGGUUUGCACCAAACCAGCACCUGAGAAGACAACUGAGCAACCUCACUUCGCAAGCUAAGACUCUGAAUCUCUCUACCCCUCGUGGUUCAAGCAACACCAAUUUAUUGGUGUUUCCAGUUUUCGUCCCUGAUUACUUUGCUGACAAUAAAAACACG
Girardinichthys multiradiatus is the source of this 534-nucleotide long non-coding RNA. RefSeq lists it as uncharacterized. The transcript has 3 exons. The record is from RefSeq and is a predicted model, not a curated record. NCBI's taxonomy places the organism in Eukaryota, Metazoa, Chordata, Actinopteri, Cyprinodontiformes, Goodeidae.